This 380-nucleotide unclassified non-coding RNA is filed under the name soil metagenome. RNAcentral describes it as "partial contains 5.8S ribosomal RNA, internal transcribed spacer 2, and large subunit ribosomal RNA". The stretch from base 1 to 120 matches the Rfam family "5.8S ribosomal RNA", at positions 35 to 154 of the family's 154-position model. The record is from RNAcentral.
GAUGAAGAACGCAGCGAAAUGCGAUAAGUAAUGUGAAUUGCAGAAUUCAGUGAAUCAUCGAAUCUUUGAACGCAUCUUGCGCUCCUUGGUAUUCUGAGGAGCAUGCCUGUUUGAGUGUCAUUGUACUCUCACACUCCCGAUCUUUGCAUUGGGAGCAGUGGACUUGGGUUUGCUGCUUCACCGUCGCUUACCUCAAAUAGGUUAGUGCAACUCUUGGUUGGACAUAGUACGGCGUGAUAAGUGUUCUUCGCCGGUGCCUCGCAAAGAGGGUGGCCGAUCGGGAUGUUGUGCUCCAAACCGUCUUCGGACAAUCUCUGACGACUUGACCUCAAAUCGAGUAAGACUACCCGCUGAACUUAAGCAUAUCAAUAAGCGGAGGA